ACGCUCGACACCUACGGGAGGCAGCAGUGAGGAAUAUUGGUCAAUGGGGCGCUAGCCUGAACCAGCCAAGUAGCGUGAAGGAUGAAGGCUCUAUGGGUCGUAAACUUCUUUUAUAUAAGAAUAAAGUGCAGUAUGUAUACUGUUUUGUAUGUAUUAUAUGAAUAAGGAUCGGCUAACUCCGUGCAAGCAGCCGCGGUAAUCUGAGCGGGCUGGCAAGGC
RNAcentral lists this ribosomal RNA (219 nucleotides) under uncultured bacterium. Its description in RNAcentral is "partial 16S ribosomal RNA". It matches the Rfam family "Bacterial small subunit ribosomal RNA", at positions 328 to 539 of the family's 1533-position model. The record is from RNAcentral.